RNAcentral lists this long non-coding RNA (818 nucleotides) under Solanum lycopersicum (tomato). RNAcentral describes it as "long non-coding RNA (SLYC_LNC000472)". The record is from RNAcentral. Lineage: Eukaryota; Viridiplantae; Streptophyta; Magnoliopsida; Solanales; Solanaceae.
AUUAUAAUAAAGAGAUUCUCCCUUUCGAGUGUAUGCAUCUUUAUCUAUAUUCUUCUUUUUAGUGUCAUUUGCUUUUAUGUUUUUCAUUUAACAUUGCUAUGUAUAUAUUGUAUUGUCUCAAUAUUAACUCAGGUUUUGUGCAACAAGAUGAAAUCUUUCCCUCCUUUAAUCUACUUCUCUUGCUUUUAUUUCAAUGAAGUAGCAGUUUCUUGAUUCGAAUUAAAGUUGUUAGAUUUCGGCAUUCGUCUAAUUUUGGGAUUCUGAUGAUUAUUCACUUCUUCAAUGUUAUUGCUUGACAAUAGAAAUUGGGCUAAUUUUCUGUUACUUUAUUAAUUAGAAUUAGAUGUAUUUUUUUCUUUCAAGUUUCUAUUGUGAUUGACACCUGAGUUAAAAAAAAGUUAGUAAGUACAUUGCUUCAACUUGAUAUACUAGCACAUACUUAAUGGUUAUGUUAUUAUGUAUUAGUAUCUGAUUAUCUGAUGGAUUCGCUACAUUAAUAUUUCACCUAAAUUCAAACUUUUACCCUUUCUUCGCAUUUGACUGCAGAUAAGUAUGUCUUUGGAAGAACAAUACGACUCGGGGUACAACAUUAGACCCAUUGCACAAGUUUUUAUUGCGGUCGGUGUUAUGAUCUUCGUUUUAAUUUUGAUAUUUAUAUUAGUCAAAAUUUAGAGAAACGUCGCAGUUAAAAGGCUGCAUGAUGAUGAGAUUGAAAUGGGGAAUCCUUAAAAUUAUUUUAUGAAAAAUGCUGUAAUUGGGAAUGAUAUAAAUUUGAUAUAGUAUUAAAAAUGUUGUAAUGGAAUGAAAUGAAUUUGAUA